Molecule: long non-coding RNA, 3007 nt
Organism: Oncorhynchus nerka (sockeye salmon)
Lineage: Eukaryota; Metazoa; Chordata; Actinopteri; Salmoniformes; Salmonidae
Exons: 4
Source: RefSeq, a predicted model, not a curated record
UGUGAGGCUUCCAACCCUGCUGACUCAAAACCAACUCCGCUCAACAUUGAAACGCUCUGCCCUCAAUUGUCCUCACGCUCCACCAUCAAAGGGUCUGGUCGCAAUCCUGUCCCAAUCCUCCUGGUCACAUUGCUAUCAGUUGGGAUAAUAAGUGGUGGUACUUACUGGGCAGUUAAAAUAAUAAAAUGUGGAGCCUGCAAGCAAAGAGAAGAAGCCCAACAUUAUGCUGAUGUGAAAUUUCAGAGAUCGAGGACCUGAGCCCUGGAACCAUGCCUCAGGACCUCCUAGCCCGAUGAUAACAACCUCUCACUUAAUGUGAUCGUGGACUAUAGGAAAAGGAGGGCCGAUCAGGCCCCCAUUAACAUUGACAGGGCUGAAGUGGAGAGUUUCAAGUUCCUUGGUGUCCACAUCACCAACAAACUGUCAUGGUUGAAACACACCAACACAGUUGUGAAGAGGGCACAACAAAACCUUUCCCCCUUAGGAGACUGACAAUAUUUAGCAUGGGUCCCCAGAUCCUCAAAAAGCUCUACAGCUGCACCAUUGAGAGCAUCCUGAGAGGUUGUAUAACCACCUGGUGUGGCAACUGCAUACCCCAUGUGUAUAGCCUCAUUAUUGUUAUGUAAUUUUCUUGUGUUACUUAUGAAUGUUAUUAUUUUUUUUAACUUUAGGUUACUUAGGAAAUGUUUUCUUAAUUCUAAUUCUUGACCUGCAUUGUUGGCUAAGGGCUUGUAAUUAAGCACUUCAAGGUAAGGCCCACAGCUGUUGUAUUCAGCAAGUGACAAAUACAAUUUGAUUUGGCUUGGUUUUUGCUCUGGCAUGCACUGUCAACUGUGGAACCUUAUAUAGACAGCUGUGUGCCUUUCCAAAUCAUGUCAAAUCAAUUAAAUUUACCACAGCUGUACUCCAAUCAAGUUGUAGAAACAGCUCUAGGAUGAUCAAUCCAAACAGGAUCCACCUGAGCUCUAUUUGAGUCUCAUCGCAAAGGGGAUGACUCAUUAUGUAAAUAAGGUAUUUCAGUUUUUGUUAUAUGUAAUGAAUUUACUAAAAUGUAUAAACCCGAUUUUCGCUUUGUCAUUAUAGGGUAUUGUAUGUAGAUUGAGGGAAAUUAAAAUGUAAUCGAUUUUACAAUAAGGCUGUAAGGUAAUAGCAUGUAAAAAAAAAAGGGAAGGAGUCUCAAUACAUCCAAAUGCUCUGUGUUAACUCUGUCUGACCGGGAGCGUAGUGGUUAUGGUGGUUGAUCCUCAAAUGACUUUUUGAGAGUUCAAAUCCCAUGGGAGCAAUUAAUAGUGCAACAUUUUUCUUGUUGCCUUUGUGGGCCUGAAAUAGCAAAUUUGAGGUGUGUAGGGGGACAGGGGCUAGUUCCCAUCAAAUAGCAUGAAAGAAGUGACACCUUGUAUAGAAUGUCCUUAUAAUAGAGUUGUGAUAACAUACAACCCUUUUCUGCAAAAGCCUACUUUUACCUGGGGGCAUGCUUUGUAGACCAUUCAAAGGUGUUCCUAAUAUUGGUCCCCCUAAAGAAACCCACAUGUUAAGAUAGCUUAGAAAUAGUUGUAGCAGUGGUUAAGGUGGUGAAUUCCCAAAGUUGUGAGUUAAAAUCCUUGCAAGAGCAUGCCAACUUGCUUUUGUUGCCUUGACCGAACAAUGUUGAGGUGGGUUUCUGGAAGGACAUUAGACAGCAAGGGAAAUUGGAUUAGAAAAUGUUAGGUUAUAGCAACUGGUGUUGAGUAGGCGUGCUGAGCUACAAUCAAACCCACCCCUGUCCAUAUAAUCUUGUUCCAGAGACAACUGAUUCAGUAUGAUCUAGGCAAAGCUGACCGUAGAACAGUACUCCUCUGUACGCAUUUAUGAAAUGUCUCAGGCUAAGAAUGCUGAACUGGAAUCAGUCUCCCCCCUGUCAAAGUAAUGUUAUUCAUUCUACUCAGAAAUACUAAACAGAUCCAAGUUUAGCACUCUUACUUCAAGCCACUAAGUGAAUGUUGGGUCUUGGGUGCUAAAUAUCUUGAACAGUGGUUGAAAAAGUACCCAAUUGUCAUACUUGAGUAAAAGUAAAGAUAUACGAAUAGAAAAUGACUCAAGUGAAAGUCACCCAGUAAAAUACUAAGUAAACGCCAUUGCUAAAAUACACUUAAGUAUCAGUGGUAAAGUAUAAAUGAUUUGACCUUCCUUAUAUUAAGCAAACUAGACAGCACGAUUCUCUUGUUUUUUUUAUUGAAUAAAUAGCCAUGGGAACACUCCAACACUCAGACAUAAUUUACAAACGAAGCAUGUGUGUAGUGAGUCUGCUAGACCAGAGGCAGUAGGGAUGACCAGGGAUGUUCUCUUAUUAAGUGUGUGAAUUGGACCAUUUUCCUGUCCGGCUAAGCAUUUGAAAUGCAACAAGUACUUUUGGGUGUCAGGGAAACUGUAUGGAGUAAAAAAAUACAUUAUUUUCUUUAGAAAUGAAGUCAAAUUAAAAGUUGUAAAGAAAUAGAAAGAGUAAAAGUACAGAUACAAAAAAACUGACUUAAGUAGUACUUUCAAGUGUUUUUACAUAAUGGAAAAUGUAUGGAGUAAAAAGUAAAUUUUCUUUAGGAAUGUAGUGGAGUCCCAAGGCCAGUAGUUGACAAGCAUUUCCCUCUAGCAAUGUAAAAAUGUCCUUGAAUGUACAUGACCCAUCUGAAUGUAUAUAUAUAAAUAUACAUGUAGUAUAUUGUAUUUAAAGUAGUGGAGUACUUUAAAUACAUUUUUGUUAAGUAAUUUACACCACUGGACUUGAAAGGAACACCUUAAUUACCUUGACUCACCGGUUCCCCGCACAUUGACUGUUGCACAUAUAUAUAGCCUCGCUAUUGUUAUUUUACUGCUGCUCUUUUAAUUAUUUGUUACUUUAAUUUCUUAUUUUUAAUUAACACGUAUUUUUCUUAACUAAAUUGUUGGUUAAGGGCCUGUAAGUCAGCAUUUCACUGUAAGGUCUACACAUGUAGUAUUUGGCGCAUCUGACAAAUACAAAUGGAUUUGUUACACA